Pelobates cultripes (western spadefoot toad) is the source of this 204-nucleotide non-coding RNA. The record is from the annotation of a GenBank genome assembly. NCBI's taxonomy places the organism in Eukaryota, Metazoa, Chordata, Amphibia, Anura, Pelobatidae.
CCACUAACCAAACACUGCCAUGAAGACCAAGGAACUCUUCAAACAAGUUAGGGACAAUGUGCAGCAGCUGUCCGGAUAGCUGGUCUCAGACGAUAUUGGAGGUGAAGAUGCUGGAUGUGGAGGUUCUGGGCUGCUGUGGUUACACGUGGUUUGCUUUUGUUAGGGCGGUUGGAUGUACUGCCAAAUUCUCUGAAAUGCCUUUGG